UGUGAGUUAAGAUACACUGGAGAAACAGUACCUUCUCCCUGUGCCCUGAGGAGAGAUGUUGGAAAAUGCCAAGGCACUGAGGCAAGCGUGUCCUCACUUGCAUGCAACACCCCUUUGGCCUUCCUAGGACAGCAGUCUCCUGCGCUUUUCCAAAAUCCUGUUGGAAAUGGCUAGAAGAACGUGUGGUGCAUGCUAGCAAUCCCUGAUUCUGGCCCAGGGCAUGUUGUCAGUCCUCUCUGUCUUCUCUUCAUGUUUUCCUACAAACCGAUGAAAUGCUUGUAAAAAUACUGUCCCAGCGCUUUUUUUUUUUUUUAAUGCCAGUUCACAUCUCCCCUCUUCCAGAGGUUUGGCUCCAGCUGAGCUCAGCUCCAAACUUGGGCCGCAGCAAACAGUCACCGCUGAAACACUGCAGAAAUCUCCCCAGUUUUGCUGAAAGAAGAGGCAAAAGUGGCUUGCGAGGGGCCAAGCUUCUCCACCUUGCAUCUUGGUCUGAGAUUUCCCCCUUGGCAGAAGACAGUCAGGCUCUGUAAGGAGCUUUUUAUCGUUGCUGCCUUGUGAUGAUAGCGUAAGUGAAGAUGAAGGAGCUGCUGCUGGAUGUAUAGGAAACUGGGAUGAUAAAAAGGGGACCAGACCGAGUUGUCAGGAGAAAGACUUCUACUUUCGUUUGGGUCUUUGGGUCAAAAAGCGUUUCAAUGAUGCUUGCCGGCUCAGUGUUGCUCGGUAUGUGCACAGCGAGCGUCCACCUGAACAGCAUCUGUGGGGCUCCCCAGAGGUGCAAAACUGAGGGGCUGAAGAGGCAGGUCCAGGUGAGGUUUUAGUGGCUGAACUAAUCCAGGAGAGCAAAACCUUUCUGUUGGGACUUGCUGCUUAUAAAUAAUGAAUUUUAAGGAACUUUGUCAUGUAUGGUUAUGAUAAUGAAGCUGAUGGUGCUUGGCUAUUAAAAGGCUGUGCUGUGGGGGAGAUAAAGGUACCAGUGUUGGCUGUGGUCACUGCUCUGUGGUCCUACCCUCGUGCUCCUUCCUCGCUGACCUUGGUGGGCCAUCGCACACAGCCAGCGUAGCCUGAACAGCCGGGGGGGUUAUCCAAAGUGACAGUGCUCCUCUGAAGGGCCACGGACAUUUAUCGCCUCCUGAGAACCCACUGCUGAUAUCUUACAUGGGACCCCAGAAAUGGAGGCACCAAACCCAACAGAAUUGCCAAAAAUGGGGGGUCACCUAAUCUGUCCCCUCUCCCCACAACGGACCCCGUCCCUGUGGGAAACCUUGGCCACAU
Molecule: long non-coding RNA, 1272 nt
Filed under: Struthio camelus australis
Lineage: Eukaryota; Metazoa; Chordata; Aves; Struthioniformes; Struthionidae
Description: lncRNA (ENSSCUG00000013635.1)
Source: RNAcentral